This 75-nucleotide transfer RNA is filed under the name Nitrososphaerota archaeon. RNAcentral describes it as "Thaumarchaeota archaeon tRNA-Gly". It matches the Rfam family "tRNA". Rfam says of the family: Transfer RNA (tRNA) molecules are approximately 80 nucleotides in length. Their secondary structure includes four short double-helical elements and three loops (D, anti-codon, and T loops). Lineage: Archaea; Thermoproteati; Nitrososphaerota. The record is from RNAcentral.
GCGGCCGUCGUCUAGCCUGGUUAGGACGCUGGCCCCCCGAGCCAGUGGUCGCGGGUUCAAAUCCCGCCGGCCGCA